GUGAGGAACCUGCCUUGGAGAGGGGAAUAACACUCCGAAAGGAGUGCUAAUACCGCAUGAUGCAGUUGGGUCGCAUGGCUCUGACUGCCAAAGAUUUAUCGCUCUGAGAUGGCCUCGCGUCUGAUUAGCUAGUUGGUGAGGUAAUGGCCCACCAAGGCAACGAUCGGUAGCCGGACUGAGAGGUUGAACGGCCACAUUGGGACUGAGACACGGCCCAGACUCCUACGGGAGGCAGCAUG
This 239-nucleotide ribosomal RNA is filed under the name uncultured bacterium. RNAcentral's name for it is "partial 16S ribosomal RNA". It matches the Rfam family "Bacterial small subunit ribosomal RNA", at positions 117 to 353 of the family's 1533-position model. The record is from RNAcentral.